Molecule: ribosomal RNA, 593 nt
Filed under: Belnapia sp.
Lineage: Bacteria; Pseudomonadati; Pseudomonadota; Alphaproteobacteria; Acetobacterales; Roseomonadaceae
Description: bacterial SSU rRNA
Rfam family: Bacterial small subunit ribosomal RNA
Source: RNAcentral
GUCGCACGGGGGCUUCGGCUCUAGUGGCGGACGGGUGAGUAACGCGUAGGAACGUGUCCUGGGAUGGGGGAUAACGCUGGGAAACUGGCGCUAAUACCGCAUGUCUGCUGAGGCAGAAAGCCUUUGGGUGUCUUGGGAGCGGCCUGCGUCCGAUUAGCUAGUUGGUGGGGUAAAGGCUUACCAAGGCGACGAUCGGUAGCUGGUCUGAGAGGACGAUCAGCCACACUGGGACUGAGACACGGCCCAGACUCCUACGGGAGGCAGCAGUGGGGAAUAUUGGACAAUGGGCGGAAGCCUGAUCCAGCAAUUCCGCGUGGGUGAAGAAGGUCUUCGGAUUGUAAAGCCCUUUCGGCGGGGACGAUGAUGACGGUACCCGCAGAAAAAGCCCCGGCUAACUUCGUGCCAGCAGCCGCGGUAAUACGAAGGGGGCUAGCGUUGCUCGGAAUUACUGGGCGUAAAGGGCGCGUAGGCGGCGCAGUUAGUCAGGCGUGAAAUUCCUGGGCUUAACCUGGGGACUGCGCUUGAUACGGCUGUGCUAGAGGGUGGAAGAGGCUCGCGGAAUUCCCAGUGUAGAGGUGAGAUUCGUAGAUAUU